GUGAAACAAACUCCUUUAAAGACAGGAGUCUCCCUGCAGUCUGGCCCGUUAUAGUCACUUACGUUGCAGAAUCCAAGGAGCGCAUCCCUCAGGAGUCACUGGAUGGACGCCAUCUGAAGUCCACCGCACGUGGGAGUCAGGAAGAAUUUUCAGCUCAUCACCACCCACAGCGCCAGCCGGAUGUCAGCUCCUUACACGACCUCCGUUACCCCUGUGGCCUUUAAGGUAUAUUUCUAAACAAAGACACCUCUCCUUAAGAGAAGGCAAUUACC
This is a long non-coding RNA of Eptesicus fuscus (big brown bat), 272 nucleotides long. RefSeq lists it as uncharacterized. The transcript is spliced from 3 exons. NCBI's taxonomy places the organism in Eukaryota, Metazoa, Chordata, Mammalia, Chiroptera, Vespertilionidae. The record is from RefSeq and is a predicted model, not a curated record.